AUGAAUAUGCUAGUAAAUAGCGGCGGACAUUCUACGCUAACCAGCUUCACAAUUUGCCACUGUGGUUAUGUAAAUGUCCUAAAUGAUGAUAUCUUAGCAAAGCUAUGGGUUUAUGUCCAAGUGAAGCUUCUUUGUCAUAGUUACUCUGAUAGGACAUUUAUGGUUCUAUUCUUUUGUGCACAUAUUGUAUGUGCAAUUUUGUGUAGUUUUUGUACCUUGUUUUUGCUCUAUUAUUUUAUAGUUUAUUUAUCUGCUAAUAUGUAUGUUGUGUGUUUUUGUGGUUUAGUUCUUGGUUUUCUUAGUUACCAUAGUUUACCCCCCUGA
RNAcentral lists this ribosomal RNA (324 nucleotides) under Triticum aestivum (bread wheat). RNAcentral's name for it is "partial small subunit ribosomal RNA". The record is from RNAcentral. Lineage: Eukaryota; Viridiplantae; Streptophyta; Magnoliopsida; Poales; Poaceae.